Long non-coding RNA from Mytilus californianus (California mussel), 1275 nucleotides. RefSeq lists it as uncharacterized. The record is from RefSeq and is a predicted model, not a curated record. The transcript is spliced from 4 exons. NCBI's taxonomy places the organism in Eukaryota, Metazoa, Mollusca, Bivalvia, Mytilida, Mytilidae.
CUUAGUACAUAUUAAGUUCAAUAUGUAGAUCAAUUUGUUUCACCCUUUUGUACUUUUUCACGUAGCAUCAAUAAAUUGUCCUAGACUAGACAAGUGACGUCGUGCGAAUUCAUUUCUGAAGAUAUAAAUCAUAAAUUAGAAAGCUUUUUUUCAAUCCAUCAAAUUUUAAAUUUUAUUCACAGAGGAUAUUUUUAUCGAAGUGACAAUGGAUAUCAAUGAAAUUGUAUUUGUAACCUCUGCACUUCAUUGUAAUCGUCGUAUUCGUGGAAGUAACAGUCUAAUGUAUGUGCUGUCGUAGUUCGGUUUUAUGCUAUCUCUGUUCAGGAACCUUUGAAAAUUUAUAGGUAAAAUUUGUUUAUUCAGGUUUCUAUAUGUCUUUGGUAAUUUGUUAAUGGUUGAAAAAAAAGUUUAUCUUAAGAGAUUUGAUACAUUGCUUCUAUUAUGAAUCGAUAAAAGUAUAACUUAUCGCGGUGUACUUAAGCGUGUUAUUUAAGGUAAAGGGAAGGCUUAAAAACAAUAACGACGAUGGUACAAUCGAAAAUAAAGACCAUCUUUCACAUUGGAAUAAGCACUCGUUAAAUACUCAUGUGUUAAUCACAAAUUGGAAUGUGUAGAGAUAGAUAGUAGAGAUAAAUAAAGUGGAGUCCUUAAUAACCUCACGCAGACAUGAUACGACGAAAAGCACCACGUACGUUAAAUCAACUCUUCAAGGUGAUUUUAUUGACAUGCAUGUUGCUCCUGGUGUUCGUCCGGACUGAAAACACACAGCACGAGAGUAUAGUUUUCAGAUAUAUUCCUUCCGCAAAUCAUUUAUUCGUCGUUAGAAAGGAACGGCAGGGAUGUUUCGUUUACAACACCACUGAACAAGAGAGGAAACAAAUACAUGAUCCGAUUAACGUUUAUGCAUUUGAGGUUAAAGUUAUGACAAUGGUACAGAACUACACUUCAUACUUCCGACAGGCUUCUAAGACUCUAUAUCAUACUGACCCGGCUAUCAAAAUAUUCAUAAACUUGUGUAACAAAGGAACUUAUGAUUUAUGGCUAUUUAAAGGUCAUACAUAGCAACACCAUUUUCUACAGAGUCAUUUUUGACAUAAACUUCCGAAAUCCGUGUAUAAGGUUUAUGAAAUAAAGACCAUAUAUGAUUGCAUUGUAUUUACUGUGCCUCGGCUUCUGAUAGCUAGAACGUCAAGUUAGACAACACCAAUGAAUGCCAGAAUGUAAAUUCAAAUACUAUAAGUAUUCUGAGUGUAUUAAACGUGAAAAAUAAAAAUG